GACGAACGCUGGCGGCACGCUUAACACAUGCAAGUCGAACGGAGAAUUUUUGGUUUACUAGAAAUUCUUAGUGGCGGACGGGUGAGUAACACGUGAGCAACCUGCCUCUGAGAGGGGGAUAGCUUCUGGAAACGGAUGGUAAUACCCUAUGACAUACAUUUGCCGCAUGACAGAUGUAUCAAAGAUUUAUCACUCAGAGAUGGGCUCGCGUCUGAUUAGCUAGUUGGUGAGGUAACGGCCCACCAAGGCGACGAUCAGUAGCCGGACUGAGAGGUUGAACGGCCACAUUGGGACUGAGACACGGCCCAGACUCC
RNAcentral lists this ribosomal RNA (314 nucleotides) under Ruminococcus flavefaciens. RNAcentral's name for it is "bacterial SSU rRNA". It matches the Rfam family "Bacterial small subunit ribosomal RNA", at positions 28 to 339 of the family's 1533-position model. Lineage: Bacteria; Bacillati; Bacillota; Clostridia; Eubacteriales; Oscillospiraceae. The record is from RNAcentral.